CCUACGGGAGGCAGCAGUGGGGAAUUUUGGACAAUGGGGGAAACCCUGAUCCAGCCAUCCCGCGUGAGUGAAGAAGGCCUUCGGGUUGUAAAGCUCUUUCGAAAGUGAAGAAAACUUAUUUCGUAAUAUGUUAUGAGUAUGACGGUAACUUUAGAAGAAGCACCGGCUAACUACGUGCCAGCAGCCGCGGUAAUACGUAGGGUGCGAGCGUUAAUCGGAAUUACUGGGCGUAAAGCGUGCGCGGGCGGUUUUGUAAGUCAGAUGUGAAAUCCCCGAGCUUAACUUGGGAACUGCGUUUGAAACUACAAGACUAGAGUGUGUCAGAGGGGGGUAGAAUUCCACGUGUAGCAGUGAAAUGCGUAGAGAUGUGGAGGAAUACCAAUGGCGAAGGCAGCCCCCUGGGAUAACACUGACGCUCAUGCACGAAAGCGUGGGGAGCGAACAGGAUUAGAUACCCUGGUAGUCCACGCCCUAAACGAUGUCAACUAGUUGUUGGUGGAGUAAGAUCCAUGAGUAACGUAGCUAACGCGUGAAGUUGACCGCCUGGGGAGUACGGUCGCAAGAUUAAAACUCAAAGGAAUUGACGGA
RNAcentral lists this ribosomal RNA (588 nucleotides) under uncultured bacterium. RNAcentral describes it as "bacterial SSU rRNA". It matches the Rfam family "Bacterial small subunit ribosomal RNA", at positions 338 to 917 of the family's 1533-position model. The record is from RNAcentral.